AGAUUAAGUUAUUAAGGGCGCACGGUGGAUGCCUUGGCACUAGAAGCCAAUGAAGGACGUUACUAACGACGAUAUGCUUUGGGGAGCUGUAAGUAAGCUUUGAUCCAGAGAUUUCCGAAUGGGGAAACCCAGCAUGAGUUAUGUCAUGUUAUCGAUAUGUGAAUACAUAGCAUAUCAGAAGGCACACCCGGAGAACUGAAACAUCUUAGUACCCGGAGGAAGAGAAAGAAAAUUCGAUUCCCUUAGUAGCGGCGAGCGAAACGGGAAGAGCCCAAACCAACAAGCUUGCUUGUUGGGGUUGUAGGACACUCUAUACGGAGUUACAAAGGACGACAUUAGACGAAUCAUCUGGAAAGAUGAAUCAAAGAAGGUAAUAAUCCUGUAGUCGAAAAUGUUGUCUCUCUUGAGUGGAUCCUGAGUACGACGGAGCACGUGAAAUUCCGUCGGAAUCUGGGAGGACCAUCUCCUAAGGCUAAAUACUCUCUAGUGACCGAUAGUGAACCAGUACCGUGAGGGAAAGGUGAAAAGCACCCCGGAAGGGGAGUGAAAUAGAACCUGAAACCGUGUGCUUACAAGUAGUCAGAGCCCGUUAAUGGGUGAUGGCGUGCCUUUUGUAGAAUGAACCGGCGAGUUACGAUUUGAUGCAAGGUUAAGCAGUAAAUGUGGAGCCGUAGCGAAAGCGAGUCUGAAUAGGGCGUUUAGUAUUUGGUCGUAGACCCGAAACCAGGUGAUCUACCCUUGGUCAGGUUGAAGUUCAGGUAACACUGAAUGGAGGACCGAACCGACUUACGUUGAAAAGUGAGCGGAUGAACUGAGGGUAGCGGAGAAAUUCCAAUCGAACCUGGAGAUAGCUGGUUCUCUCCGAAAUAGCUUUAGGGCUAGCCUCAAGUGAUGAUUAUUGGAGGUAGAGCACUGUUUGGACGAGGGGCCCCUCUCGGGUUACCGAAUUCAGACAAACUCCGAAUGCCAAUUAAUUUAACUUGGGAGUCAGAACAUGGGUGAUAAGGUCCGUGUUCGAAAGGGAAACAGCCCAGACCACCAGCUAAGGUCCCAAAAUAUAUGUUAAGUGGAAAAGGAUGUGGCGUUGCCCAGACAACUAGGAUGUUGGCUUAGAAGCAGCCAUCAUUUAAAGAGUGCGUAAUAGCUCACUAGUCGAGUGACACUGCGCCGAAAAUGUACCGGGGCUAAACAUAUUACCGAAGCUGUGGAUUGUCCUUUGGACAAUGGUAGGAGAGCGUUCUAAGGGCGUUGAAGCAUGAUCGUAAGGACAUGUGGAGCGCUUAGAAGUGAGAAUGCCGGUGUGAGUAGCGAAAGACGGGUGAGAAUCCCGUCCACCGAUUGACUAAGGUUUCCAGAGGAAGGCUCGUCCGCUCUGGGUUAGUCGGGUCCUAAGCUGAGGCCGACAGGCGUAGGCGAUGGAUAACAGGUUGAUAUUCCUGUACCACCUAUAAUCGUUUUAAUCGAUGGGGGGACGCAGUAGGAUAGGCGAAGCGUGCGAUUGGAUUGCACGUCUAAGCAGUAAGGCUGAGUAUUAGGCAAAUCCGGUACUCGUUAAGGCUGAGCUGUGAUGGGGAGAAGACAUUGAGUCUUCGAGUCGUUGAUUUCACACUGCCGAGAAAAGCCUCUAGAUAGAAAAUAGGUGCCCGUACCGCAAACCGACACAGGUAGUCAAGAUGAGAAUUCUAAGGUGAGCGAGCGAACUCUCGUUAAGGAACUCGGCAAAAUGACCCCGUAACUUCGGGAGAAGGGGUGCUCUUUAGGGUUAACGCCCAGAAGAGCCGCAGUGAAUAGGCCCAAGCGACUGUUUAUCAAAAACACAGGUCUCUGCUAAACCGUAAGGUGAUGUAUAGGGGCUGACGCCUGCCCGGUGCUGGAAGGUUAAGAGGAGUGGUUAGCUUCUGCGAAGCUACGAAUCGAAGCCCCAGUAAACGGCGGCCGUAACUAUAACGGUCCUAAGGUAGCGAAAUUCCUUGUCGGGUAAGUUCCGACCCGCACGAAAGGCGUAACGAUUUGGGCACUGUCUCAACGAGAGACUCGGUGAAAUCAUAGUACCUGUGAAGAUGCAGGUUACCCGCGACAGGACGGAAAGACCCCGUGGAGCUUUACUGUAGCCUGAUAUUGAAAUUCGGCACAGCUUGUACAGGAUAGGUAGGAGCCUUUGAAACGUGAGCGCUAGCUUACGUGGAGGCGCUGGUGGGAUACUACCCUAGCUGUGUUGGCUUUCUAACCCGCACCACUUAUCGUGGUGGGAGACAGUGUC
RNAcentral lists this ribosomal RNA (2260 nucleotides) under Staphylococcus aureus. RNAcentral's name for it is "partial 23S ribosomal RNA". It matches the Rfam family "Bacterial large subunit ribosomal RNA", at positions 1 to 2258 of the family's 2925-position model. Lineage: Bacteria; Bacillati; Bacillota; Bacilli; Caryophanales; Staphylococcaceae. The record is from RNAcentral.